UGUGUUCAGAUGGAAUGGAAGUCGACUCAAGCACAGUUGCUGGACAGUUUGACGACGCCGAUGUGGAUCACUGAUUUACUGCGUUUCUGUACGGCUGAUUGAAGCACUUCAGUGGGGCAUGCUGGGAUACCGGCUGACUCUCAAAGCUCUUAUAAUUUCUGUUUUACACCACGGCCGUACAUUUCCAGAUCCACAGCCCUGUGUAGCUUCCACUAAUCGAUUUUGUAGUUUUCCCUGAAGACCAACUUCCAGAAUGAUCCUCCUCAGUGGAGUGAUGUUGAUGAGUUUGUUAGAGAUUUCAAUAAAUACACCUGUUUUUGUA
Sinocyclocheilus grahami is the source of this 322-nucleotide long non-coding RNA. RefSeq lists it as uncharacterized. The transcript is spliced from 2 exons. NCBI's taxonomy places the organism in Eukaryota, Metazoa, Chordata, Actinopteri, Cypriniformes, Cyprinidae. The record is from RefSeq and is a predicted model, not a curated record.